Molecule: RNA transcript, 3330 nt
Organism: Olea europaea var. sylvestris
Lineage: Eukaryota; Viridiplantae; Streptophyta; Magnoliopsida; Lamiales; Oleaceae
Exons: 4
Source: RefSeq, a predicted model, not a curated record
AAAACUAAUUGUCUCCAACAUAAAUCGUCCCAAAUUACUAGAAAAACAAGAAGCCUUUCAUCCAUUAGAAAUUAUUUCAAAGCAUUACACUCACCAUUAUCUCGAACUUGCAAUCGUAUUUUUGAAUCUAUCGAGUUAAGAUAUUUUUGUGCAAGUGUUUUCAUUUCCUUAUACUUUUAUAUUCAAUUAAAUAGGCAUAGAUUGCCAGUGGACAUUCGGAUUCCAUAAAAAGCGAGAUGAAAUCUUACGGGAUUAUAAGAGGACCUAAGAUGGGUAUAUCGCUUGGUCACCAAUAUACUCCAUAAGCGCAGAGUGUCGAAAUCACAUCAAAUCAGUCAAAUCAGCAACAGUACCGAGCUCGGACUCGGGUCGCUGAAUUCUUCUGUGAUUGGUCGACGAGGUCGAUGGCCAUCUGUCAAUGUUUUUCCCAGGUAAUGAUGACCUGCAAGGGACUUGAGGAUUAGGACUUAGGUUUGGUAGUUUCGGCCGACGAUGAUGUCACCUGCAGCAAGUGUAUUUGAUUGAUAGGGUGAUGUGACAGGGGAUAAUCAUGAUGUUUUUCUGAGAUAACGGCGGGAUUGUCCGACCUAGGAAUAGGAACCGAACUCCCAUUUGCCUGAGGUGGGGUUAGCGAACUGUUUUAAUUUAGAUCGGAGUUCGAUUGUCAACAGUUACCCCCAGGUCAGUUCUGCAGUGGGGGGCUGACCUCAGUGAUGCUUUCUCCAAGAAGUGUAUUUAUUGCUGCACCAAGUGUCAUCUUUUGAUGGGGAUUAGCUGUACGGUAUUUGUAAGUAGCUUCUUCAGCAAACUUGGUUAAAACUAUGUCGUUUCGGUCUCUCAAGCUUCUGAGCUGUUGAUUUUCCCCUCAUUUCUGGAUAGACGGUUCAGAUCGUGCCCUCUCAGUUUUUCUUUCUUUAAAUUCCUUUUGGCCAGUAAUUUCGCCUCCUAUUUCACUGGUUUAUUCUCUCUCAAAUAUUCGUGCAAUCUCCUGAGUUCGUUUUUCCAUUUUCGAGUAAGGUCGUUUUCCCAGUUCAUUUCCUAGGUAUUCUUCUGUUCUUAUUUUUCUUCCUCCUUUCAGUUUGUGCUUUGUUUUCUAGUUUAUACAUGAGUUCGGAAGAGUCUAGAGUUCAUUCCUGGGGAAACCAGCAGGAAGAGUCAAUUUCUCUUUCGACGAGUUCGUCCUCUAGUUGUAGGGAAGUUUUCACCCCUAUUCCUAUUUCCAUAAUUAACCCAAUCGACUUAGGAUUUCUUGUCAUAGACUUUGGAUGUUAGGGUUCCAAGGGAGAGGGUAGAUCCAAUAAGGAUGUUGAGGAGAGUAAUUCUGGAGAGUAGGGGGGACGAGUUCGUACAGGUCGGUCGUAACAGGGGAUAUGUUAGCCAGCUGGGGAGCUAAAUACGCUAUCCCUAGUUCGAUAGUGAUGAUAAUACCAGAACCAUUUGACCGAGCUGACACUCUUCCUGAGGGAUGUGUUGCUCUGAACUCAGCUAUCCUUCAGGCCGGCCUUAGACUUCCCUUUCCUAGGGCAAUUCGUAAAUUCCUUUCUUCCUAGGGCAUAGCUCCACACAGUUAUGCCCUAACGGGUGGCGAACCUUAAUCGUCGCCCUUAUUCUAUGGGACCAAAUGGGGAAUCCCGAGCUUAGUGUCCAGCAGUUCGACUCUGUGUUUACUUUUAAGGAGGAUGGGAAGAACUCGGGUUGGUGGUACACAAGCGUUAUGCCCAGGAAAGGGGGUUCUCUGGUGUUAGACACCCCUUCCUCAGUUAAGAAAUGGAAGGAAGAAUGGUUAUAUGUAUCGAGGGAGUGGCAGUUUCAUUCUGCCGGGGUGAAUAGAGAGGAUGUGGUCCCCAGGCUCUAUCAUUCUUUAUAUUACAAGAAGGAGAUGUUAACCAAAGAUACGCAGAGACGAGCUAAGGUAAUAAGAUCGUUAUCCAAAAGGCAAAGGUCCUGUAAGUUUGUGAUCUUAGAUCCGAACUUAUUCCGGGUCGGCUUGGUGCAAGUACGAGCUUCAAGUUCGGCUCCUUCCAGUUCAGGUUAUAUUUUAACCCUCAUUCGCGGUUGUGGUAUAUAUAUAUUGAGCGUUUCACUAUUUUCUCAGCUCAUCAAGACGAGAUGCGGGGCACAAGGUAGUAAUGGCAGCGGUUGCAGUCAAAGGAAAAAAGAGAGAUGUCUCAGAACGGUCGGAGAGCCAUUCUGAAAAGGUGGAGGAGGAGGUUCCACUGAAGAGGAACUGAUCUGCGCCCCUGGUUGCACUGAAGAUUCCUGAGGCUGUGCCUUUAUCGAGCUCGUCUCCUACUCUGUCGUCGCCUUCUUUGCCAUCCCCAGUUGCACCCUUUGCUGUCGGGACCAAUUCUGUGAACUCGUAGGAGAGGUGCCCAGAUUAACAGAGGUCGAGCUUGGAGAGUUUAGUGGGACACCGACCAAAGAUAUUUCUUGAUUAUCUCCGAGCUCCUUCUCCUUCUAAGGAGGUGACUACCACGCUCACUUCACCAUCGAGAGAGUUAGCUAAUCUGCUUAUUAGGAGCUUGGGUGAGAGAGAGCGGGGCUAUCUGAAUGAGAUGCCCAUUGGUGAGGCCUUGGUCACUGCUCAGCUCCAUGGUCACCAAUCAAUUUUAUACAUGAUGGCAAUGGCGGACAAGUCUGAGCUGGACAAGCUUAUAGAGGAAAAGGAUCAGUCCUUUAGUCUUUAUAACAGCAUGGAGGCUGAAAAUGCCCAGUUUGCUCGAAGGAGAGAGUAUGAAGAGAAGCUGAAUCAGAUGAGGAUCGAGCUAAACUCCAGGAUCGAUGUCGAGGAAAAACUGAUGGGAAAGAUCAAGGCCUUAACGGCCUCAGAGGAAGAAGCCAGAGCUCGGGCUGAGGAGCAUGGCAAGGUCAGGGAGGCCAUCCAGAAAGUAUAAGAGGCCAACGAAAGGGCAAGGAAGGCCACCAGAAGGGCUGAAGAGGCUGAAGCCAAGGCUGAUAAAGCGGUGGAGGCUUGGAAGAAAUCCCCCGAGUUUGACGUCGUAGCCAAGGACAUCUACGUGGUAGCACUGGAGGAGCUGGUGGGGCACAUCAGGAAGGAGAGGCCUGACAUUGACGUGGCCUUUCUGGAUGAAGCGUUGGACGGGCAGAAGGAGGAGCUGCGGAAGUUGUCUGAGGCUGCUGGAGUCCGAAUAUUAUCGGUUGUCCAAGAUGUUGAGGGUAGUACCCCAGCCCCCCAAGACCCCUAGGAGGUUUUUUUUUCUUUCAAAACAUUGUGUGGUAUUUAGUUUUGUAAUAUGUUUUGGCUUAUUAGUGAAUUUCGUUUUGAUGUUUCAUGGCAUUUUGUUUGGAAUGGAUGAUUGUUUAUGCUCA